Molecule: long non-coding RNA, 1336 nt
Filed under: Monodelphis domestica (gray short-tailed opossum)
Lineage: Eukaryota; Metazoa; Chordata; Mammalia; Didelphimorphia; Didelphidae
Description: lncRNA (ENSMODG00000044436.1)
Source: RNAcentral
GAAGAGAGGUAAGAGGUAGGCAAUUGGGAUUAAGUGAUUUUGCCCAGGGUCACACAGUUAGGAAGUGUCCGGAGGUCAAAUUUGAACCCAUGAUCUCUCAACUCUAGGUCUAACUCUCUAUCCACUACGAAAUCUAUCUGUCCCUGGCAGAUAUAUUAUGUGAGGAUUCCUUUUGAGUGUGAUUUAGACUAGAUGGCUUCUUCGGUCUCUUCCAAUUCAAAUUCUAGUAUUCUGUUAUAACACUGAACAUGCUAGAUCAUCUAAAACUUUGUAGCCUUUGCAUGCUCUCCCAUAACUGGGUUCAUAUUUCCUGGCUAUCUUCAAGCUGCUUUGUUCAUUCCCUCAAGCUUCAACCUCUAACCCAGAACUCAAGUUUCUACCUGGGCCACUGGGCUUAUUAUGAUUGAUGAGCAUUUGCCUUAUAGUUCAGAAUAACCCCCUUUUCCCUUUCCAACUCUGGCUGAGGAUAAUAAAAUCAAUAUUCCCAUUCCUAGAAAAGAUGUGAACCAACAUCCUAUGUGACCCCAAUCACCAUCCCUCUGAUUUCCCUAUCCAAAAUAUUCUUCCUUAGAUACCACUCCCUUACAUGGUUUAUUCAUUAGAAUGUAAAUUCUUAGAGGGCAGUUUUGUGCUUUCUUGUAUUUGUACUACUAGUGCUUAGCACAGAGCAGCACACAGCAACUAUUUACUAUUGUUCAGUCAUUUCUGAUUCUUCAGGACCCUUUUUAGGGUUUUCCUGGCAAAGAUACUAGAAACUGAGGCAAACAAGAUUAAAUGAAGUUUGAGGCCAGAUUUGAACUCAGGAAGAUGAGUCAUCCUGACUUCAAACCCUGAACUCUAUCCACUUGCCCAGUCACUAUUUAAUACAUUUUUUUUCCUUUCCUCUCUCUCUUUCUCCCUUCCUCCUUUCCUUCCUUCCUUCCCUCCAUUCCUUUCCUUCCUUCUUCCCUCCCUUCCUUCCUCUCUUCCUCCCUCCCUUCCUCUCUUCCUCCCUCCCUCCCUUCCUCUCUUUCCCCCUCCCUUCCUUCCUUCUCCCCUUUCUCCCUUUCUCCCUCUCUCCUUCCUUCCUUCCUUCCUUCCUUCCUUCCUUCCUUCCUUCCUUCCUUCCUUCCUUCCUUCCUUCCUUCCUUCCUCUUCCUUCCUUCCUCUUCCUUCCUUCUUUCUUUCUUUCUUUCUUUCUUUCUUUCUUUCUUUCUUUCUUUCUUUCUUUCUUUCUUUCUUUCUUUCUUUCUUUCUUUCUUUCUUUCUUUCUUUCUUUCUUUCUUUCUUUCUUUCUUUCUUUCUUUCUUUCUUUCUUUCUUUCUUUCUUUCCUAGGUAGAAAAACAAUGGAGGUUU